RNAcentral lists this ribosomal RNA (370 nucleotides) under uncultured bacterium. RNAcentral's name for it is "bacterial SSU rRNA". It matches the Rfam family "Bacterial small subunit ribosomal RNA", at positions 527 to 895 of the family's 1533-position model. The record is from RNAcentral.
GGAGGGUGCAAGCAUUAAUCGGAUUUAUUGGGCGUAAAGGGCGCGUAGGCGGUAGGGAAAGUCAGAUGUGAAAUUCCGGAGCUCAACUUCGGAACGGCAUCUGAAACUUCUUUACUUGAGGUAAGGCGGGGAAAACGGAAUUCCACAUGUAGCGGUGAAAUGCGUGGAUAUGUGGAAGAACACCGGUGGCGAAGGCGGUUUUCUAGCCUUUACCUGACGCUGAAGCGCGAAAGCGUGGGGAGCAAACAGGAUUAGAUACCCUGGUAGUCCACGCUGUAAACGAUGCAUACUAGAUGUAAUCGGAUUCAACCCCGGUUGUGUCGGAGCUAACGCGUUAAGUAUGCCGCCUGGGGAGUACGCUCGCAAGGGU